AGAGAGAGAGAGAGAGAACAAUUAAAUUAAAUGCUUACUGUAAAAUUUGUUUCCAUGGCCUUUUGAUGACUUUAUAAUUUAUCUUUUCUUGCUUUUCCCUGAGUUCUCAUUUCAUAGUGUUUAUUACUGUUCAACUUUCUCUGGCAAGAAAUGCGUUAAUUGUGUAAUUGUAAUUAAAUUUCUUUGAAAUUUUUUGGUUAUUUGUUGGACUGCCUGCUUUCCUA
RNAcentral lists this unclassified non-coding RNA (224 nucleotides) under Hevea brasiliensis (rubber tree). The record is from RNAcentral. Lineage: Eukaryota; Viridiplantae; Streptophyta; Magnoliopsida; Malpighiales; Euphorbiaceae.